GACGAACCAUGCAAACGUUAUUCGGAAUCACUGGGCUUAAAGCGUGCGUAGGCGGUUCAGAAAGUUGGGUGUGAAAUACUUCGGCUCAACCGAGGAAUUGCGCCCAAAACUACUGGGCUUGAGGGAGUUAGAGGUGAGCGGAACUCACGGUGGAGCGGUGAAAUGCGUUGAUAUCGUGAGGAACACCGGAGGCGAAAGCGGCUCACUGGGGCUUUACUGACGCUGAGGCACGAAAGCUAGGGGAGCAAACGGG
This 253-nucleotide ribosomal RNA is filed under the name uncultured bacterium. Its description in RNAcentral is "partial 16S ribosomal RNA". It matches the Rfam family "Bacterial small subunit ribosomal RNA", at positions 524 to 776 of the family's 1533-position model. The record is from RNAcentral.